This 253-nucleotide ribosomal RNA is filed under the name uncultured bacterium. RNAcentral describes it as "partial 16S ribosomal RNA". It matches the Rfam family "Bacterial small subunit ribosomal RNA", at positions 524 to 776 of the family's 1533-position model. The record is from RNAcentral.
UACGUAGGGUGCGAGCGUUGCCCGGAUUUAUUGGGCGUAAAGAGCUCGUAGGCGGUUUGUCGCGUCUGCCGUGAAAGUCCGGGGCUCAACUCCGGAUCUGCGGUGGGUACGGGCAGACUAGAGUGCAGUAGGGGAGACUGGAAUUCCUGGUGUAGCGGUGAAAUGCGCAGAUAUCAGGAGGAACACCGAUGGCGAAGGCAGGUCUCUGGGCCAUUACUGACGCUGAGGAGCGAAAGCGUGGGGAGCGAACAGG